AUUGAACGCUGGCGGCAUGCCUUACACAUGCAAGUCGAACGGUAACAGGUUAAUCUGACGAGUGGCGAACGGGUGAGUAAUGUAUCGGAACGUGCCCAGUCGUGGGGGAUAACUGCUCGAAAGAGCAGCUAAUACCGCAUACGACCUGAGGGUGAAAGCGGGGGCUCGCAAGACCUCGCGCGAUUUGAGCGGCCGAUAUCCGAUUAGGUAGUUGGUGAGGUAAAGGCUUACCAAGCCGACGAUCUGUAGCUGGUCUGAGAGGACGACCAGCCACACUGGGACUGAGACACGGCCCAGACUCCUACGGGAGGCAGCAGUGGGGAAUUUUGGACAAUGGGCGCAAGCCUGAUCCAGCCAUGCCGCGUGCGGGAAGAAGGCCUUCGGGUUGUAAACCGCUUUUGUCAGGGAAGAAAAGGUUCUGGCUAAUACCUGGGACUCAUGACGGUACCUGAAGAAUAAGCACCGGCUAACUACGUG
This 477-nucleotide ribosomal RNA is filed under the name uncultured bacterium. RNAcentral's name for it is "partial 16S ribosomal RNA". It matches the Rfam family "Bacterial small subunit ribosomal RNA", at positions 30 to 507 of the family's 1533-position model. The record is from RNAcentral.